UAGGGAAUCUUCGGCAAUGGACGAAAGUCUGACCGAGCAACGCCGCGUGAGUGAAGAAGGUUUUCGGAUCGUAAAACUCUGUUGUUAGAGAAGAACAAGGACGUUAGUAACUGAACGUCCCCUGACGGUAUCUAACCAGAAAGCCACGGCUAACUACGUGCCAGCAGCCGCGGUAAUACGUAGGUGGCAAGCGUUGUCCGGUUUUAUUGGGCGUAAAGCGAGCGCAGGCGGUUUCUUAAGUCUGAUGUGAAAGCCCCCGGCUCAACCGGGGAGGGUCAUUGGAAACUGGGAGACUUGAGUGCAGAAGAGGAGAGUGGAAUUCCAUGUGUAGCGGUGAGAUGCGUAGAUAUAUGGAGGAACACCAGUGACGAAGGCGGCUCUCUGGUCUGUAACUGACGCUGAGGCUCGAAAGCGUGGGGAGCAAACAGG
RNAcentral lists this ribosomal RNA (429 nucleotides) under Gemmatimonadota bacterium. Its description in RNAcentral is "Gemmatimonadetes bacterium partial 16S ribosomal RNA". It matches the Rfam family "Bacterial small subunit ribosomal RNA", at positions 355 to 776 of the family's 1533-position model. Lineage: Bacteria; Pseudomonadati; Gemmatimonadota. The record is from RNAcentral.